RNAcentral lists this long non-coding RNA (2531 nucleotides) under Homo sapiens (human). RNAcentral describes it as "HSALNT0344698". Lineage: Eukaryota; Metazoa; Chordata; Mammalia; Primates; Hominidae. The record is from RNAcentral.
GAUCCACCCACCUCGUCCUCCCAAAGUGCUGGGAUUACAGAGUCACGUCUCUGUCUGCAUUUCAUCUUCUCUUUCCCAACAACUUUCAAGAACUGUGAAGGGUCUGAUUUGACUCAACGUCCAAGCUACCAUGUUGGUCUUCGAGGAGGCACAAGAGCCUUGGAUCAGAGACAAAAAUCUCGGUUACUCACAGCAGAGAAAUCAGUAUGAGCUUUCCUUGUGCCUGAGUUCCCCUUACUAUCCAAAUCCCAGGGGGAUGAUUUACACAGAUCCAGCAUCCUCCCAGGCCCCUGGGCUCACAACACUAACAGUGUGCCGGCUGGCAAGGAAGUCUCAGCGCAUGCAACACCAUAAUCCCACAGCGGGCAACGGGAGGCAGACUGGGGGCUGAGAACAAUAAAUUAACAAAAUAGUCAAUGGCAUUUUAAAGAAAGAUGAAGGGAUCAAGGCUGAGGUCAGUGAGUUUACAAACAAGUAAUAAUAAUUCCUUCAAUCUAACAGCCUCUUCUUCUGCAUUUCUAAUUUUCUGAAAAGUCAGUUGAGCCAUUCCAAUAGGAAAAACAUUGUAAAUGUGUAUACAAGAUGUUUGUAUCACCUCAAUCUUUUUAGCUUUCAUUAGGAGCAUUUUUUUGGUAUAAUACACAUGCUUCAAUGUAGCUUUUCUAUAUUUGGAUCAUUUCAUACAAGAAAAAUUUAAGAAUCCUUUCUUCUCUCACUGCAAAAAUAUCUCACUAAGCUCACCCAAGGAAGGCCAUCCCAUAAUAAAGCUUGUUUGAAUCACUUUCCCUGAAGGUACAUUCAAACCCAGUUAUAACAUGAUCUCCAGGAACUGCACAGGAGGAAGCUGUCUCCACCAGGAGCUGGAUCAGAUGCUGCUCGCUGUCUACCUAUUGUUGACGUCCUCCUUCCCACGUGGAUGCAACGUGAGCAGUCAGAAAGUCAAACUUCACGGAACGACAGAGGUGCCAAAACGGCAACUCCACCACCUGUCCGAAGAUCUAAGAGAACACCAGCUGUCUGACAGUGGCUUGAACAUUAUACAUUCAGCUUUUCACUUACAAAUAUAGCUGUGAAUUCACAGGGAGUAAUCCUACGUGCUGGAUCUCAUUCUCAAGUGGGAAAAUUCUAUAGAAAAACUGAUGUCAAAUUAGCCAUUUGUGGUGGUUGCUGAAGAAGACACACCAAGUCAGAUGCUCCUGACUAAGCAAGGCGAUACCCUCCAACUGAGCAUGGAAGCCCUACUGCAAUAGGAGGGCCUUCAUCAUCCACACUGGUUAGCACUUGCCACUUCUUGCUGCCAUUGCCUCUCAUACAAGAAAGUCAAGCCAGUGUAGAUCAAAAAUAAUAACAAUAAAAAUAAAAAAAUAAAAAGGUUUACCUAAUUUUAUUCAGAAGCUUUAUUAAAGAUUUUUUUUGUAUUAUCUGAUUUUUAAUCUGAUUUUUAAAAAGAUUUUUAAAAUCUUUUUACCUUUAUUAAGGUAAACUUACUUUGUUAGAUUAUCCUGAAUGUACAGUUCAAUGAGAUUUAGUAAAUUUCCAAUUGUGAAACCCUAUCAAAACCAAGUUCAGAAGAUGUCUAUCAAUCAAAAAGAAUAAGAAGCUUAUAGAAAUCUCAUAUAAAUGGGAAUAUGUAAUAGGGAGUCUUACAUGCUUGGUUUUCAUUUAGCAUAUUGCUCUUCAGAUUCUCUCCUAUAGCUGCAUGCUAUUCGUAGUUUCCUCCUUUUUAUUACUGAGUAGAUGUGUGGUUGUGUGGAUAUAACACAUUUCCUUUAUCCGUUCACCCGUCAGCACUUGCAUUGCUUCCAGUUUGAGGCCAUCACAGAAAAUACCCUGAACAUUCACAUAUAAGUCUUUUUUGUCAACAUAACAAUUACUUCUUUCCUGGAUGUGGAAUGGCUGGUGAAGAUAAGUUUAACUCAUUUAGAAACUGUCAAAGUGUUUUUCAAAGUAGCUGCAACAUUUUUUAAAUCCUCACCAGAAAUAUUGGAAAAUUCCAGUUUCUCCACAGUAUUCCAACACUUGGAAGCCUGAGUCAGUUCAUGUGAAUUUUAAUUCGACCUCUAAGUAAAAAAGAUGUGUUACAAAUGUGCAUCUUGUGAUUAUUCCAGUCGCCUGAGGAGGAAGGAGGGUGGGCAGGAUUUUUACUAAAAGUCAAAUUUUGAGGUGUUUUAAGUAGAUUUGGUAGUAGAAAAAGAUGAUCAUUUCAUUAUUUUUUUCAAUUUAUUUUUUUCCAAAUUUUCUCAUUUUUCUUCAAGACAUUACAGAAAACCUGAAGAAACAUGAAAUAAAGAAGGAAAUAAAACCCAUUCAUAACCUGCUACCCCUGAAUAAAUCCAGCAAGCUUCUUGUCCAUGCUUUCUCUUGGUCUGUGUCCAGGGUCAUGCAAUGAUUUUCCAGUCAUGACUGUGAAACAAAUCAAUUCUAAAUUUUACAGUACCUCUUACCUAUGUUCCAUUGCUACAUGGUCUUCAUAUUUAAUGUGUAAUGAAUGCCUGGUGUUUCUGUCUCUCAUUUUACUUUAAAUUAUAUGA